UGGUUGUUGCUUAGAUCAAGC
This 21-nucleotide non-coding RNA is filed under the name Arabidopsis thaliana (thale cress). Lineage: Eukaryota; Viridiplantae; Streptophyta; Magnoliopsida; Brassicales; Brassicaceae. The record is from RNAcentral.